RNAcentral lists this ribosomal RNA (496 nucleotides) under uncultured bacterium. Its description in RNAcentral is "partial 16S ribosomal RNA". It matches the Rfam family "Bacterial small subunit ribosomal RNA", at positions 28 to 507 of the family's 1533-position model. The record is from RNAcentral.
GACGAACGCUGGCGGCGUGCCUAAUACAUGCAAGUCGAACGCUGAAGAGAGGAGCUUGCUCUUCUUGGAUGAGUUGCGAACGGGUGAGUAACGCGUAGGUAACCUGCCUUGUAGCGUGGGAUAACUAUUGGAAACGAUAGCUAAUACCGCAUAACAAUGGAUGACACAUGUCAUUUAUUUGAAAGGGGCAAUUGCUCCACUACAUGAUGGACCUGCGUUGUCUUAGCUAGUAGGUGAGGUAAUGGCUCACCAAGGCAACGUUACAUAGCCGACCUGAGAGGUGGUCCGCCACACUGGGACCGGGGCACGGCCCAGGCUUCUUAGGGGAGGAGGCGUAGGGGAUCCUCGGGAAAGGGGGCAACCCCGGCCGAGCCACGCCGGGUGAGGGGAGGAGGUUUUCGGAUCGUAAAGUCCUGUUGUAAGUCAAGAACGGGUGGGGGAGUGGAAAGUGCACGCUGUGACGGUAGCUUACCAGAAAGCGACGGCUAACUACGUG